Molecule: ribosomal RNA, 460 nt
Filed under: uncultured bacterium
Lineage: Bacteria
Description: partial 16S ribosomal RNA
Rfam family: Bacterial small subunit ribosomal RNA
Source: RNAcentral
CCUACGGGAGGCAGCAGUGAGGAAUAUUGGUCAAUGGGCGCAAGUCUGAUCCAGCCAAGUAGCGUGAAGGAAGACUGCCCUCUGGGUUGUAAACAUCUUUUAUAAGGGAAUAAAACGAGGCACGUGUGCCUUUUUGCAUGUACUUUAUGAGUAAGGAUCGCCUAACCCCAUGCCAGCACCCGCGGUAAUACGGAGGAGACGAGCGUUAUCCGGAUUUAUUUGGUUUAAAGGGAGCGUAGAUGGGUUGUUAAGUCAGUUGUGAAAGUUUGCGGCUCAACCGGAAAAUUGCAAUUGAUACUGGCAGUCUUGAGUACAGUUGAGGUAGGCAGAAUUCGUGGUGUAGCGGUGAAAUGCGUAGAUAUCACGAAGAACCCCGAUUGCGAAGGCAGCUUACUAAACUGUGACUGACGCUGAUGUUCGAAAGUGUGGGUAGCAAACAGGAUUAGAUACCCUGGUAGUC